RNAcentral lists this transfer RNA (67 nucleotides) under Lophuromys menageshae. RNAcentral's name for it is "tRNA-Pro". Lineage: Eukaryota; Metazoa; Chordata; Mammalia; Rodentia; Muridae. The record is from RNAcentral.
CAAGAAGUAGUUUAAUAAAGAAUGCCAGCUUUGGGUGUUGGUGGUGGGGAUGAAUCUUCCUUCUUGA